AUUGAACGCUGGCGGCAGGCCUAACACAUGCAAGUCGAGCGGACCUUUCGGGGUCAGCGGCGGACGGGUGAGUAACGCGUGGGAAUAUGCCCUUUGCUACGGAAUAGUCCUGGGAAACUGGGGGUAAUACCGUAUACGCCCUUUGGGGGAAAGAUUUAUCGGCGAAGGAUUAGCCCGCGUUGGAUUAGGUAGUUGGUGGGGUAAUGGCCUACCAAGCCGACGAUCCAUAGCUGGUUUGAGAGGAUGAUCAGCCACACUGGGACUGAGACACGGCCCAGACUCCUACGGGCGGCAGCAGUGGGGAAUCUUAGACAAUGGGGGCAACCCUGAUCUAGCCAUGCCGCGUGAGUGAUGAAGGCCUUGGGGUUGUAAAGCUCUUUCAGCUGGGAAGAUAAUGACGGUACCAGCAGAAGAAGCCCCGGCUAACUCCGUGCCAGCCGCCGCGGUAA
Molecule: ribosomal RNA, 449 nt
Filed under: uncultured bacterium
Lineage: Bacteria
Description: partial 16S ribosomal RNA
Rfam family: Bacterial small subunit ribosomal RNA
Source: RNAcentral